Long non-coding RNA from Ostrea edulis (European flat oyster), 225 nucleotides. RefSeq lists it as uncharacterized. The record is from RefSeq and is a predicted model, not a curated record. Lineage: Eukaryota; Metazoa; Mollusca; Bivalvia; Ostreida; Ostreidae. The transcript is spliced from 3 exons.
AUUUACCAUAUGAAUGAAGAGGAAUGUGUCAUUGGAAGUGGAAGAGAGUGUAAUAUAAAAGUGUCCCUAACAAAUGUUGACAAUAUUCAUGCAGUUGUUGCAGUUGACAGAUUCAAGGCUUCCGUAACAAAUUUUAGUAAAAAGUUUCCUGUCAUUCUCAAUGGAAAACCAAUUGAAAUUGGCAAAGAAUUGAAUGAUGGAGAUAUGUUGGUCAUUGGUGGCAGA